Molecule: ribosomal RNA, 256 nt
Filed under: Durinskia baltica
Lineage: Eukaryota; Dinophyceae; Peridiniales; Kryptoperidiniaceae
Description: partial Eukaryotic large subunit ribosomal RNA
Rfam family: Eukaryotic large subunit ribosomal RNA
Source: RNAcentral
AGGGAAAGAUGCAAAGAACUUUGAAAAGAGAGUUAAAGAGUACCUGAAAUUGCUGAAAGGGAAGCGAAGGAAACCAGUGUCGGCUCAGUCAUAUUUCCCUGUCCGCUUGCGGUUUGGGCGCUGUGUCUGGCCUGUGUCGUCCUUGGUUGGGUCUGCUGGAAGAGCGCAGUGAGAGUUGAUCUCUGUUGCUAGCAGCGGGUCUGACUGAGGAGGACGAAAUGGUUUUCUUUACCCCGUCUUGUAACACGGACCAAGG